RNAcentral lists this ribosomal RNA (433 nucleotides) under uncultured bacterium. RNAcentral's name for it is "partial 16S ribosomal RNA". It matches the Rfam family "Bacterial small subunit ribosomal RNA", at positions 29 to 507 of the family's 1533-position model. The record is from RNAcentral.
AACGAACGCUGGCGGCAUGCCUAAUACAUGCAAGUCGAACGAGACCUUCGGGUCUAGUGGCGCACGGGUGCGUAACGCGUGGGAACCUGCCCUUAGGUUCGGAAUAACUCCCCGAAAGGGGUGCUAAUACCGGAUAAUGUCUUCGGACCAAAGAUUUAUCGCCUUUGGAUGGGCCCGCGUUGGAUUAGCUAGUUGGUAGGGUAAAAGCCUACCAAGGCGACGAUCCAUAGCUGGUCUGAGAGGAUGAUCAGCCACACUGGGACUGAGACACGGCCCAGACUCCUACGGGAGGCAGCAGUGGGGAAUAGUGGACAAUGGGCGAAAGCCUGAUCCAGCAAUGCCGCGUGAGUGAUGAAGGCCUUAGGGUUGUAAAGCUCUUUUACCCGGGAUGAUAAUGACAGUACCGGGAGAAUAAGCUCCGGCUAACUCCGUG